UUCCGGUUGAUCCUGCCGAAGGCUACUGCUAUUGGAGUUCGAUUAAGCCAUGCGAGUCUAAGGGGUACUUGUACCCCUGGCAUAAUGCUCAGUAACACGUGGAUAAUCUACCCUUAGGUGGGGCAUAAACCCGGGAAACUGGGGCUAAUACCCCAUAGAUACAGAAGGCUGGAAUGCCUCUGUAUUCAAAGCUCCGGCGCCUAAGGAUGAGUCUGCGACCUAUCAGGUAGUAGUCAGGGUCACGACCUGACUAGCCAACGACGGGUACGGGGUGUGAGAGCACUUGCCCGGAGAUGGUUUCUGAGACACGAAACCAGGCCCUACGGGGCGCAGCAGGCGCGAAAACUUCGCAAUGCGGGAAACCGUGACGAGGGAACUCCAAGUGUCUAUGCAAUGCAUAGACUGUUUUUCAGCCUAAAUAGCUGUUAGAGUAAGGGGUGGGUAAGACCGGUGCCAGCCGCCGCGGUAACACCGGCACCCCGAGUGGUAGCCACUAUUAUUGGGCCUAAAGCGUUCGUAGCCGGUUUAGUAAAUUCUUGGGUAAAUCGUACAGCUUAACUGUGCGGAUUCCGGGGACACUACUAGACUUGAGACCGGGAGAGAUUAGAGGUACUUGCAG
This 619-nucleotide ribosomal RNA is filed under the name uncultured marine group III euryarchaeote. Its description in RNAcentral is "bacterial SSU rRNA". It matches the Rfam family "Archaeal small subunit ribosomal RNA", at positions 1 to 624 of the family's 1478-position model. The record is from RNAcentral. Lineage: Archaea; Methanobacteriati; Thermoplasmatota; Thermoplasmata; Candidatus Thermoprofundales.